Molecule: long non-coding RNA, 1342 nt
Organism: Nelumbo nucifera (sacred lotus)
Lineage: Eukaryota; Viridiplantae; Streptophyta; Magnoliopsida; Proteales; Nelumbonaceae
Source: RefSeq, a predicted model, not a curated record
UCCAAGUUCCAACCCUCCCUCUCCCUGCGCUGCGAGCCUGCAAGCUACAAGUCUGCGACUGCGAACUGUGAAGAAAACCCUUGUUUGGAACAAGAAACUAAGCAAGCAUUGAGCGAAGAAUCGGUGGUACUAUGAAGAACACCCUUGUUCGGAACUAACCCUUGUCCUUGUUUCAACGUUCAACCCUCCCUCUCCCUGCGCUGCGACCUACGAGUCUAUGAUUGCGAGGCUGCAAGUUUGCAACUGUGAACCGGCGGUAAUUUUCAUUAGCUGACGCCCGACGAAUUGGCGGUACUCACAGCUCUCAGUCAAAUCUCAGCUCUUACGUUCUCCGUCUCUCACAAUCGACGCCCGACGCUCUGAGAGUUCGAAGUUGGAGCUUGGAAGGACUGAUUGGCUCCCAUCAACAACUCUAUUACUAGUCGUCCAGCAUUCAAAAGACCACCGCACCAUCCAAUCAUCCAUGCUAACUUGUUGCAGUAUUUGUAAAUCCACAAAACUCAAUAAAAUGUGGUUAGCAGUUAGCACUACUCAUGGGCUGAAGUUCACACAAUCCAAGAUUGACUAACAUUCAAAGGAGAUUGCAGACAUGGCUUGCAGUCGUAGCCAAGAAGGUAUCUCUAGUGGAUGUUGGAAUUGUAGGAGGCCUCAGUGAUGGGUCAGACGAGAAGGAAAAGGGACCACCAACUUCAGCUUUCAUGGGAAAAGCCAUGGUGGUAGGGUCAGGUCUUGGUAGAUCUGGAUUUACCCCCUUCAACUGGAAUGGCUGAAAAUGACUCAUUUUCGUCCCUCAGACAACAACAGUUCGGUAGCUUCAAAUGAUGAUUUUUCUGUUUUCCUCUUUUGAUAUUCUUCAACGCUUUCGCAGAAAAAGUUGAAGAAUGGGUGUCUUGGUGUGCUUCAUUUAUUCUAUGCAUUAUUAACAAUAUUUGGUUUGAUAAUUGCAUGUUGUUAACUCUAUGAUGGCAUUAGCCAGGCCUUUUUUCAUUAUGUCUCUAGGCAUUCCAGAAUAUAAUUCCUUUAAAGAUAUGUGACUUAAUCAAUACGGAGGAUCUUUCCAUUGUUAGAUUGUGGUUGUAGCGGUUCUGUCUUACCCCAAUUGAAAGUUCUAUAUAGCUGGGUCAAGCAAAUCCAUCGAAAUCUGGCCAAGAAAAUUUCAGCAAGAGCAAACAGGGAAAUGUUUCCUACUGGGAGUUGGCGAGUGAUAAUUAACGAGUUAGAAGUAUUCUCCAUGCUCGCAAAUGAAAGAGUUCGCAUUGGUUCAGGAUUAUGAAGUCAGCAUAGAAACUAGAGUGUUUGUGUUCCUUGGAGAUUCUUAAUGAAAGAGUGAUUCUUUUGCAUA